UGGCUCAGAUUGAACGCUGGCGGCGUUGCCUAACACAUGCAGGUCGAGCGGUAACAGGUGUAGCAAUACAUGCUGACGAGCGGCGGACGGGUGAGUAACGCUUGGGAAUCUGCCUGAUAGUGGGGGACAACCCGGGGAAACUCGGGCUAAUACCGCAUACGCACUACGGUGGAAAGCCGGGGACCGCAAGGCCUGGCGCUAACAGAUGAGCCCAAGUCGGAUUAGCUAGUUGGUAGGGUAACGGCCUACCAAGGCGACGAUCCGUAACUGGUCUGAGAGGACGACCAGUCACACCGGAACUGAGACACGGUCCGGACUCCUACGGGAGGCAGCUGUGGGGAAUAUUGGACAAUGGGCGAAAGCCUGAUCCAGCGACGCCGCGUGGGUGAAGAAGGCCUGCGGGUUGUAAAGCCCUUUCGGUGGGGAAGAAAAGCCUCGAGCUAAUACCUCGGGGUCUUGACGUAACCCAUAGAAGAAGCACCGGCUAACUCUGUGCCAGCAGCCGCGGUAAUACAGAGGGUGCGAGCGUUAAUCGGAAUUACUGGGCGUAAAGCGCGCAGGCGGCUUUGCAAGUCGGGUGUGAAAUCCCCAGGCUUAACCUGGGAACUGCAUUCGAGACUGCAUUGCUAGAGUAUGGGAGAGGGAAGUGGAAUUUCCGGUGUAGCGGUGAAAUGCGUAGAUAUCGGAAGGAACAUCAGUGGCGGAAGCGACUUCCUGGACCAAUACUGACGCUCAUGUGCGAAAGCGUGGGGAGCAAACAGGAUUAGAUACCCUGGUAGUCCACGCCAUAAACAAUGAGAACUGGGAUGUCCGGAGGGUCUGCCUCUCGGUGUCGUACCUACGCGUUAAGUUCUCCGCCUGGGGAGUACGGCCGCAAGGUUGAUACUCAAAGGAAUGANCGGGGACCCUCUCAGCGGUGGANCAUGUGGNUUAUCCGAUGGCACCGCGAAAACUUUCCUGGUCUUGACUUCCCAGGAACCCUUGC
Molecule: ribosomal RNA, 985 nt
Filed under: uncultured Gammaproteobacteria bacterium
Lineage: Bacteria; Pseudomonadati; Pseudomonadota; Gammaproteobacteria
Description: bacterial SSU rRNA
Rfam family: Bacterial small subunit ribosomal RNA
Source: RNAcentral